RNAcentral lists this ribosomal RNA (820 nucleotides) under Calosoma breviusculum. Its description in RNAcentral is "partial 28S ribosomal RNA". It matches the Rfam family "Eukaryotic large subunit ribosomal RNA", at positions 1332 to 1844 of the family's 3401-position model. Lineage: Eukaryota; Metazoa; Arthropoda; Insecta; Coleoptera; Carabidae. The record is from RNAcentral.
AGCGUCGUGCUUAUACUCUGCCGUCGGGACAGUAGUGAUAUCUUUACAUUCUACGGGAUGUAAAAUAUCGUCAGGUCUCGACGAGUAGGUGGGCCGCGGCGGUGAGCGCAGAAGGACUGGGCGUAGGCCCGUCUGGAGCCGCCGUCGGUGCAGAUCUUGGUGGUAGUAGCAAAUACUCCAGCGAGGCCCUGGAGGACUGACGUGGAGAAGGGUUUCGUGUGAACAGCCGUUGCACACGAGUCAGUCGAUCCUAAGCCCUAGGAGAAAUCCGAUGUUAAUGCAGUGUGUCUUUAUGAAUGCAUUGAUAGUUAUGGAAACUUUUGUACAUUCGCUCUCACCACGCCAAUAAACUGAAUGAAACUAAAGCUAUAUAAAGAAGUGUAGUAAACUACUUCUAUCUACCUCACUGCGAGAGACGAUGUCGUAGACUCUCACUUUGGUUUUAGUGUUCAGUAGUGGCUUGAGAUGUUGAUUGUCGUGUAAAGGCUUGACAUAUCUGAAAUCAUUUUUGUAGAGAAGUAUCACACUCAUUGGGCGAAAGGGAAUCCGGUUCCUAUUCCGGAACCCGGCAGCGGAACCGUUUACAAGUCGGGCCCUCGCAAGAGAGUUCGUCGGGGCAACCCAAAAGGACCUGGAGACGCCGUCGGGAGAUCCGGGAAGAGUUUUCUUUUCUGUAUGAGCGUUCGAGUUCCCUGGAAUCCUCUAGCAGGGAGAUAGGGUUUGGAACGCGAAGAGCACCGCAGUUGCGGCGGUGUCCGGAUCGUCCCCUCGGACCUUGAAAAUCCAGGAGAGGGCCACGUGGAGGUGUCGCGCCGGUUCG